UUGGUACAGCGCACUCCAAUUUAUUUGCUUGAUGUUUCCAACUCUGUCCGAAUUAUCCAUCUAACCAACCUUAAGCAUAGCUUGUUCGCUCCAAAUGAUCUCUUCCAUCCUUGAGCCGACCACAGAAAGUAUUAUUGCUCGACCUGCUUGUCAUCCGUGCUUGGCGCAACGUUGAACGCACGAACGCUGCUUACUGCUUUGGUGAGUCCUUCUGAUUUUUCUUAUGAUCAACGAUUAGUUAUUGUGACUUAUUGCUUAUUGAAAUCUUCCUUACUUCCUGGGGUUUACAGUGGAGUACCUCCGCUAUCCACAAAUUUUACGAAACGCCGCCGGUGCACUUCGCUGCAGGCGCGUUCUGUUGUUUCGCAUAACUCUUUAAUGAAGGUGAUAAGUGCAAAUUUAAUAAGGGGCUUGAAAACGUCCAGCGAACAAGUUGCCGAACGGCAAUGUUAGAAACAGCAAAGCGCCGGACCCCCUCAGGUCCUAAUAUUGCUGUCACCAUUCACUAGUAUAUGAGUUUCGGUCACUCUCCAACAGGCAAAUGGAAAGGAAUGCUUCCAUAGGAAGGUUUUUUUAUUCAAACGUAGUGAACUACUUCUGGCGGUUCUCAAAGCAAAUUGCGGGAUGCUUUUAUUGUUGGAAAGUGACCGACACACAUACCAGUAUUAGGUAAUGGUGAAAGCAGAUCUUCAUAACACCCGGG
This 703-nucleotide long non-coding RNA is filed under the name Volvox carteri. RNAcentral's name for it is "long non-coding RNA (VCAR_LNC000826)". Lineage: Eukaryota; Viridiplantae; Chlorophyta; Chlorophyceae; Chlamydomonadales; Volvocaceae. The record is from RNAcentral.